Streptomyces varsoviensis is the source of this 75-nucleotide non-coding RNA. The record is from Rfam. Lineage: Bacteria; Bacillati; Actinomycetota; Actinomycetes; Kitasatosporales; Streptomycetaceae.
CUUGAUCGACCCCAGCCAGAGCGGCGCGUCCUCGGUGUGCUCGCUGCCGUAGGUGGCCAGCAGCGCCUGGGCCUC